Podarcis lilfordi (Lilford's wall lizard) is the source of this 119-nucleotide non-coding RNA. Lineage: Eukaryota; Metazoa; Chordata; Lepidosauria; Squamata; Lacertidae. The record is from the annotation of a GenBank genome assembly.
GCUUACAGCCAUACUAUCCUGAACAUGCCUCAUCCCGUCUGAUCUCGGAAGCUAAGCAGGGUCAGGCCUGGUUAGUACUUGGAUGGGAGACCACCUGAGAAUAUCGGGUGCCAUCGGCU